RNAcentral lists this ribosomal RNA (429 nucleotides) under Bacteroidota bacterium. RNAcentral's name for it is "Bacteroidetes bacterium partial 16S ribosomal RNA". It matches the Rfam family "Bacterial small subunit ribosomal RNA", at positions 355 to 776 of the family's 1533-position model. The record is from RNAcentral. Lineage: Bacteria; Pseudomonadati; Bacteroidota.
UAGGGAAUCUUCGGCAAUGGGGGGAACCCUGACCGAGCCACGCCGCGUGAGUGAAGAAGGUUUUCGGAUCGUAAAGCUCUGUUGUUAAGGAAGAACGAGUGUGAGAAUGGAAAGUUCAUGCUGUGACGGUACUUAACCAGAAAGGGACGGCUAACUACGUGCCAGCAGCCGCGGUAAUACGUAGGUCCCGAGCGUUGUCCGGAUUUAUUGGGCGUAAAGCGAGCGCAGGCGGUUAGAAAAGUCUGAAGUGAAAGGCAGUGGCUCAACCAUUGUAGGCUUUGGAAACUGUUUAACUUGAGUGCAGAAGGGGAGAGUGGAAUUCCAUGUGUAGCGGUGAAAUGCGUAGAUAUAUGGAGGAACACCGGUGGCGAAGGCGACUCUCUGGUCUGUAACUGACGCUGAGGCUCGAAAGCGUGGGUAGCAAACAGG